GCCUGUUUAGAGUCCUUGGUUCUCAAACUAGUUUGCAUCUGAAUCACCUGGAAGACUUGUUAAAACAAAUUGUUGGGCUUUCCUCUCAGACUCUUUUUUAUUCAAGAUUUCUGGGUUAGGGUCUAAGUAUUUGUACUUCUAAUAAUUUGGAGAACCUCAAAACUAAGAUUUCUCUACUUAAAAUAUGUGAUAAAAACUGGGAAAGGAGUAAAUUUUCUUGGAGAUCAGGCUUUUUCGGUAGGUGUAAUAUUUCCAUGUUAGAUAUGCCAUAGUAUGCGCUGAAAAAAACUUAUUGAGUGAAUGAAUGAAUGUCUAGGAUGUUCAGACAUAAUGGUUUGUUAAGUGGUAAAUGAUUGGUAGGGAGAGUAUAUAAGUAGUGAGUGCUACUAGCUGGUUUGAGGAAGAACACUAGAGGGAGCCAGGUAUGGUGGUACACACAUUCAAAGCCAGCCUCGGCAAGUUAGGAAGGCCCUAAGCUACUUAGUGAGACCCUGUCUCUAAAUAAACAUAAAAAGGACUGGGGAUGUGACUCAGUGGUUAAGUGCCCCUGGGUUCUAUCCCCAGUACAAAAACCACUAGAGGGAGUAGGUUACUG
Molecule: long non-coding RNA, 595 nt
Filed under: Marmota monax (woodchuck)
Lineage: Eukaryota; Metazoa; Chordata; Mammalia; Rodentia; Sciuridae
Source: RNAcentral